UGGGGAAUCUUGCGCAAUGGCCGAAAGGCUGACGCAGCGACGCCGCGUGUGGGAUGACGCUUUUCGGAGUGUAAACCACUGUUGCCCGGGACGAACAGCCUUUUUCGAGAGGCCUGACGGUACCGGGUGAGGAAGCACCGGCUAACUCCGUGCCAGCAGCCGCGGUAAUACGGAGGGUGCGAGCGUUGUCCGGAAUCACUGGGCGUAAAGGGCGCGUAGGCGGCCCGCGCAAGCGUGCGGUGAAAGCCCGGGGCUCAACCCCGGGUCGGCCGUGCGGACUGCGGGGCUCGAGCACUGUAGGGGCAGAUGGAAUUCCGGGUGUAGCGGUGGAAUGCGUAGAGAUCCGGAAGAACACCGGUGGCGAAGGCGGUCUGCUGGGCAGUAGCUGACGCUGAGGCGCGACAGCGUGGGGAGCAAACAG
This 421-nucleotide ribosomal RNA is filed under the name uncultured bacterium. RNAcentral's name for it is "bacterial SSU rRNA". It matches the Rfam family "Bacterial small subunit ribosomal RNA", at positions 355 to 775 of the family's 1533-position model. The record is from RNAcentral.